This is a small nucleolar RNA of Pygocentrus nattereri (red-bellied piranha), 71 nucleotides long. RefSeq annotates it as small nucleolar RNA SNORD26. The record is from RefSeq and is a predicted model, not a curated record. The transcript has a single exon. Lineage: Eukaryota; Metazoa; Chordata; Actinopteri; Characiformes; Serrasalmidae.
CUACCGUGAGGAUUGCCUGAACUCUCUCUUUCUGAAUGCCUUUUGAAGAAGUCCUGAGCUUUCUGAGUAGU